This 253-nucleotide ribosomal RNA is filed under the name uncultured bacterium. Its description in RNAcentral is "partial 16S ribosomal RNA". It matches the Rfam family "Bacterial small subunit ribosomal RNA", at positions 524 to 776 of the family's 1533-position model. The record is from RNAcentral.
UACGUAGGUGGCAAGCGUUGUCCGGAUUUACUGGGCGUAAAGAGCGCGCAGGCGGUCGUUCAAGGCGCGUGUGAAAGCCCCCGGCUCAACUGGGGAGGGUCACGCGAUACUGAUCGACUGGAAGGCAGGAGAGGGUAGUGGAAUUCCCGGUGUAGUGGUGAAAUGCGUAGAUAUCGGGAGGAACACCAGUGGCGAAGGCGACUACCUGGCCUGUUCUUGACGCUGAGGCGCGAAAGCUAGGGGAGCAAACGGG